AAGAAGAGGAGAGAGUACGGUACAAUAGGAUAUUUUCAGAGAGAAUAUUCACAUAACUUUCAUUACAGUAUAUUGUUAUAACUGUUCUAUUUUUAUCAGUAUUGUUGUUAAUCUCUUACUGUGCCUAAUUGCUAAUGGAUCAAUAUGAGACCCAGAAGGAGAACAUCUGGUAAAGGCUGAUGACCUUGACAUCAAUGACCUAUGGAUGCUGCUUUGCAGAUAGCUGAGUAUGAGCAGCUACAAUAGAUGGCAAAUUUUGGAACAAAUGUGUAGGAAGACAAAACAAAAGCCAUUUUCAUUUAGACGGGGAUACUGCAAAUGGUAGCCACGGGUAAGGCCCAUUAUGUGUCCGAAUGCAUCUGUGGACUUUCACAAAAUCAAAUGCAAGUAUGGAAAGUGAAAAUAUUCAAGGCAUAUGUACAGAUGAAAAAGAAAAACCCUUCUAAUUUGCAAUGGAGAACAUUUGCAACAAAAGUCGGUUCACCUUUGCUGGAAAGAACUGCAAUGGUACUUUAAAAACUUGCCAAAUGAUUCCAAUAUGAAGCUGGGGCUUUGAACCUUUGGUUUCCUAAGAGAUUAAACACAUGCAAAAAAUUAAUUACCAUUAAAUGAAACACAUGCUAUAA
Felis catus (domestic cat) is the source of this 626-nucleotide long non-coding RNA. RefSeq lists it as uncharacterized. The transcript has 4 exons. Lineage: Eukaryota; Metazoa; Chordata; Mammalia; Carnivora; Felidae. The record is from RefSeq and is a predicted model, not a curated record.